Molecule: long non-coding RNA, 340 nt
Organism: Onychostruthus taczanowskii (white-rumped snowfinch)
Lineage: Eukaryota; Metazoa; Chordata; Aves; Passeriformes; Passeridae
Exons: 3
Source: RefSeq, a predicted model, not a curated record
CAGAGAUGAAUAAAUAGAUAAAUAAAUUAUCUGCGCUCCUGGCCAAGAAACGGGAACUCGUAUGGAACUGGCAUCUAAUUCACGUGGAAUUAAUGCGACAAUCCAACCCUCUGGGGCCUUUGGCACAAAGCCGGGGACUCUCCUGGCAUUCUGAUUUCUUGUCCCACGGCUGAAGCUGUCCCACCCUGAACGUGGCUGGGGUCAGGCUGUGGUGUCACCUCUGGUGACCCCCAGGAGCAGCAGCAUCCCCUCAAGCUGAAGAAUUGGACAAUAUUUUGACUUUUCCAAGUGUCUCCAAGAGCAAUGGGCAGCGUUGAUUUGGGACAGAAUCCAGGCCCAG